Molecule: ribosomal RNA, 492 nt
Filed under: uncultured bacterium
Lineage: Bacteria
Description: partial 16S ribosomal RNA
Rfam family: Bacterial small subunit ribosomal RNA
Source: RNAcentral
AGUGAACGCUGGCGGUAGGCCUAACACAUGCAAGUCGAACGGCAGCACAGUAAGAGCUUGCUCUUACGGGUGGCGAGUGGCGGACGGGAGAGGAAUACAUCGGAAUCUACUUUUUCGGGGGGGAUAACGUAGGGAAACUUACGCUAAUACCGCAUACGACCUACGGGGGAAAGCAGGGGAUCUUCGGACCUUGCGGGAUUGGAUGAGCCGAUGUCGGAUUAGCUAGUUGGCGGGUUAAAGGCCCACCAAGGCGACGAUCCGUAGCUGGUCUGAGAGGAUGGUCGCCCACACUGGAACUGAGACACGGUCCAGACUCCUACGGGAGGCAGCAGUGGGGAAUAUUGGACAAUGGGCGCAAGCCUGAUCCAGCCAUACCGCGUGGGUGACGAAGGCCUUCGGGUUGUGAAGCCCUUUUGUUGGGAAAGAACAGCUGCCGGUUAAUACCACGCUGUUCUGACGGUACCCAAUGAAUAAGCACCGGCUAACUUCGUG